GUCCCUUUAGAGCAAUGGACAUCUCGUUGGACUUCAAAUCCAGAGGUCGUGGGUUCGAAUCCCACCAGAGAUG
Trichonephila clavipes is the source of this 73-nucleotide non-coding RNA. The record is from the annotation of a GenBank genome assembly. Lineage: Eukaryota; Metazoa; Arthropoda; Arachnida; Araneae; Nephilidae.